AGUUGUUUGGCUCCGGCGGGGAGUCCAGGUAGCGUUGCGGGCCCCGUGGGGGAAGGGUGCCCUCCCUCGCAGCCCCACCACCACGCCUGCUGGCACCCUGGGCCCGGACUCCCCAUGGACUCUGGGGCGCCCCUAGCCCGCCCUGUCCCCAGGGCCGGGCCCGAGCGGCGGCUGCGCCCGUGCAAGUCCCAUCAGGUCUGCUCACACUUCACACACUCACACACAUACCCCGCCCCUCCACUCUUUCACUCACACUUUCUGCUCACACCCCGCCCCCUACGCGCCCCAGACCCGGGCGGCGCCCCCCGCAACCUUAAAAAAAAAAAAAAGCGAGCUUAUACUUAAAAAAAUCUUUUGGCGCCAUAUUAAUGACGUACUUAAAAUUUGCCAUUUCUCCCUGCGUCAAAAAGACGUUUCUUUGCAAAUAACAGCCUGGAGGCGACACUCGCGGAGGGAACGAGGUUUGCACUGAGCACCCCGCCCCCCGGGGCUCCAGCGCUGGAAGACCCUCGCCCUAGGCCCUGCUUCUGAAUCGCUGGUUUUAAAAUGCGAAUCGAAUAAAUUGCGUGGCGUUUUGCAGCACCAGAAGUGAGCAGAAAGUGCUGGCAGGAGGGGAGUGGAGGGGCGAACGCGAGUCUUGGGGAGGGGGCGCGGCCCUCCUCCCCGCACCCACUCCAAAUGGAAAACUAACAUUCCGGGCGGGGGAACUUGAAAUUGUAGGCGACCUCAAGAAAAGAGGGGCGGUCCGUAGAGAGGGUCCCCAUUGGGCUCGUCGCCCCCUCCCCCCUCCCGGGUGCCUCCUGGCGCCUAGCGCUGCCCCGCAUUUCCGGGGGGUGGAGAAGGCAGUGAUGAGCGGGUGGGUGGGUGGUUGCACAUCCUGGCCCCAGCAGGAUUUUGCCCCGGGGCGACCCCUUCCUCCUUGCUCUUCCUUCCCAUUACCCCGAAAGGGUUAAAAACCGAGGGGUAACUUCCAAAGGCUGGCACAUGGCGAGGAAGCGGGGCGCCCCUCUCCCCACCCUUCGCCUCCUCGCCCCUCCUCCUCCGGCUCCACUUCCCGACUUGACCUUGUGGUGCACAAACAGUACGCUCGGAUCCUCGCAGUUUCUGGAAGAAGAGCCUGCGCUCGCCAGGCGGGCGGGCUGUCGGGCUGCUAGCCGGCGGUGGCGGGGCCUUGGGUCUGUUCCCGGAGCCGCGGGCCACACCCACCCAACCCGCUGCGCCCGCCGAGCUCACCUUCUCUCGAGGAAGGAGAAGGACUGGCCUCCUGGUUGGGGAGGAAUCGGGGGUCAAGCUCCAACCUCCUCGGAAUGCCUCUAGCUGGGGAGGGGGUGGGUCUGGCCUCGGGAGGAGGUUGUGGGGAGCCUGGCCCAACAUCCCCAAAGCAUCGUGGCCAACUUUUUCUUCCCCCUCAUGGUCGGCUGCCCCUCAGAUUAUCCAAUAAUUUUUCAGCUCACCUUUGGCUUUGAAGGCACGUGGGUGAGUUGUGAAUGGACACCGGAGUCGCCUUCCCUCUCCAAGACUGAAGAUUGUUUAUUCUUCCUUUCCCCUCCACCCCCUUCCAUGGGAAGAUAAAUAUUCAAUUUACAUAAGAUGACAUUUAUGUGACAAUUAAGAAGAUUCCCCGAUGGAAUGUUGUGAACACAUUUGCUUAUAGGAGAAAUAAAUCUAAUAAUAAACAAACUCAUAAUAACAGCACAAAUCCUCCGACAGGGCGGAUUGUCUACCCAACAAAGAGGGAGAUGAUGAAUGCUGAAAUAAGCAGUUUUUGCAACAAGAAAGAAAUAUGAGCUCAAAGGGAGUCACUGCAACAUUUCUUCUUCCUUGGCCUUCAUUCACAAAGUCUGAGGAGAAUUGUCUGGCAAGAGGAUGGUCUGGGUAUUACCUUCCAGUUAGACCUGGCUGUGGCUCUCAGUGGUCAAUUGGUGGUAUUUUUCUCUAGCCAAGCUCAGAGUCUGGAAACAGGUGCUGCAGACUUGGAGUGUGUAACAAAAUAGUUAAAUACUUAGGUUCUAAUCCUGGCUUUGCAUUUCAGAAGCUGUGUGAUGUGGGCAAGUGAAUUCAUCUCCCUGGAUCGCUUUUUCCUUUUGGGUAGAAUGGGGUGGUUGGAGGGUUCUUGAGGCCAUGUGUGCACAUACACAUAUAUGUAUGUACGUACAUAUACAGGUGGUAUGUGUAAAGCAGCAACUGGCACAGGGUGCAUAGUGCUCAUUAGCACCUUGCCUGGUACCUAAGUGGGUUUUUUUUAUUUUGGAAGGGUGAAAUUGUUCUCUGAAGCUUGAUGGUCAAGGUCCAGAUGUCCAUUCCGGGGUGGGAGUGAGGGUACCAGUUUACAGUGGCACAGUCUAAAGAGAUGACCUCCAGAGAUGGAUGAGGGAAGUGUGACCAUUUAAAGUGCACCUGCAGUGUACUGGUCACUUUGUGAGCCAUUCUAUCUCAUCCUCCCCCAAACCCCUUCCUCCCUUUUCAGAAAGGUUUAGUAACUUACCACAGCCACACAGCUAGUAAGUGCUGGCAGAAUUGGCUCCUAGGUCUAGCUGACCUUGAGACCUAUGUAGUUUCUAUUUUACCACACUGCCAGAAAUAAAAAGUAUUACUAUUAUUGGUUUGAUUGGGGAUGGGGGGAUCUGAUUGCUGUCUUGGCAAGAAAGAAUUUUAUGAGCAGCACUUUGCUUCUGAGGUGGUUCCCUGACUUGGGGUGAGACCCAGGCCUUCUAAUGAGCCCUUGAAAAUACCUCUUGCUUAGGACUGGAAGCCCUAUCAAAAUCCUUGGAUUCCCACAGUUCUCUGCUGCUGUUUAAGGUUAACCUUGGAAGCUUUAACAGAAUGAUAACGAUAAAGCUAAUUGUAACUCCUUAAUCUUUAUUAAAAGUCUCACAAAUCAUUCAUUAACUUUUUUUUUUUUCCUUUUUCCACAAUCUCUGCUUUGGACGUAAUCAUUCAUUAACUUUUUACAGGAAAGAAAUGAGAAGAAAGAGAGUUCUUGGAGAUGUAAUCCUUCAUUGUUUUUCAACAAGCCUCCCGUAUGCCAGAGACCAUUCUUGGUGUUGGGGACACAGCACACACACACACACACACACAAAUAAGUAAAUAAAUAAAAUAAAUGAGGAGCAGGGCAGGGAGAGCAUCAGGAAAAAUAGCUAAUGCAUGCUGGGCUUAAUACCUACGUGAUGGGAUGAUCUGUGCAACAAACCGCCAUGGCACAUGUUUACCUGUGUAACAAAACUGCACAUCCUGCACAUGUAUCCCAGAACUUAAAAAAAAAAAAAAGGUAAAAAUGUUAGCUGCUAGAGUGAGCAGGUUAUUAAAAUUGGACAUGAUUUUAUUCUAAACUCUAAAAUAUAAAAAUAACUAUAUGUUUGAAAGUGAUUAAGUGCUGUGGAGAAACUCUUAAGAAGGAAAGGGCGAUACACAGUGUGGGAGUGCAAUUUUAAAUAAAAUAGGGAAGUUCUCACCGAGAAGACAGUCUUUGAGAAGAGCAGGUAAAGGAGUGAACUGUAUGUGGGAGUAUGUGUGUAUGUACAUGGGGGAAGAGAAGCCAGCCGUUCUUAACCUGGAGACCAUAGACUCUCCUCUCCAUGGGUCUGUGGAUAGAAUUCAGAGGAUCUUGACCUUAGGUGAGAAAAAAAUUACAACUUUAUUUUCACUAAUUAAAAUGUAGCGUGUCCUUCAAUUAUGAAUACAGAUAACAAAUCAGUGAUAUUAGCAGCACCUGUGACAUUACUGCUGGUAGAAAUCACAGAUAUUUUCAUAUCACUUUAGAGUUGUUGCAAAUAUCUUAAAAUAUCGUUACACUUUAUGAGUAAUUUAUUGAAAAAGUAUCAUUUUACUCAUCACUACUUCAAAAUCAUGC
RNAcentral lists this long non-coding RNA (3850 nucleotides) under Homo sapiens (human). Its description in RNAcentral is "non-protein coding lnc-SAR1B-3:3". The record is from RNAcentral. Lineage: Eukaryota; Metazoa; Chordata; Mammalia; Primates; Hominidae.